This 2019-nucleotide long non-coding RNA is filed under the name Drosophila melanogaster (fruit fly). RNAcentral's name for it is "antisense RNA:CR43463 (Dmel_CR43463)". Lineage: Eukaryota; Metazoa; Arthropoda; Insecta; Diptera; Drosophilidae. The record is from RNAcentral.
GAAUUAUUCGAUCCGAGCGAAUCGCUCACAGCGCCUUGUCCGAGUUCCUCGCCUCCUUGGCCCUGCCCUCCGCCUCCGUUGGCUUCUUCAGCUGCACAAUGUCCCAGGAGCCGCCCGCUCCGUUGGACUUGGAGCACAGAUCCAGACUGAUGAGGGCGCCCGUCGUGGGAGCAGCUGCCCGGAGGCAGGUGCCUUUGGCCAUGUUGUAGACGGGACUGUUGGCGUUGCGGGUGUGCCGCCACUGCUGAUCGCCGAGCAUCUCGUGGCACUUGUUGACCGUGACCUGCGCAUCCCCGGAUGCCUCCAGGCACAGCAACUUGUCCAGCACAAUUUCCGCCUUCUCCGUUUCGUACCACAGUUGAUUGGGUGUCCUUCGGCAGGUUUGCAAUUGCAGGGAGCUGCCCUUCUUCCAGAAACCCUUCACCUUGGGAGCCACCACGGCGGCACAGAGCUCCGUUCCCGUCAGUCGCAGCUGGAAUGUGUCGACAUAGUUACGUUUUCGCGAGUGCCAAGGCUGAAAGAUGGGCGCUGCCGCCGACUUCUUGGACUCCUCGCCCGGCACAUGCAGCUCUGGAUAGACAUUCUUUAGAUACCAGGCAAAGUCCCUGCACUGCAGACGCUCCCUAAGCUUGAGGCGAUCGCUAAUGUCUCCAUAAUCAUAGGUCUUGGGCACCUUUUCGUGCUUGAGAUAGUAAUCCUUGUACUGAUCCAUCCAGACGUGCGCCAAACGCAGUGAGUUCUUCAACAUGGUGUUGGCUCCAUCUGGCGAAGUGUACGGACGUCGUUUGCGGAAUAUGUGACCGACACGGGAGCAGGGAACGAUCUUAAUGGCGCCACCGCAUUGCCAGGCUCUGAAGGAGAUCUCUAUAUUCUCGCCACCCCAUAUAUCCAUGGCCAUGUCGUACUCGCCCAGAUGCUGGAAGUACUUCCUGUUCACGGCAAACAAUCCGCCGGCCAUGGUGGGCGAACGGAAGGGUCCGCGAAAAUCCUCCGGCACCUUGAGCGUGCCCUCGGGCAGAUUCUCCCAGCGGAAGUGCAGGCCCCAGUUGAAUCCUCCGCGCACCAGUGGACUGGGCGUGUACUCAAAGGUAUCAGCGUUGAUCAGGUCGAUGACGGGCACGGCCAGAGUGGCGUUCUCCGACUUGAUGAGGCGCAGCAGCGGCUCCAGCCACUGCUGAUUGACCUCGAUAUGCGAGUCGAGGAAGACGAGCACAUCGCCCACGGCCUCGCGUGCACCAAUGACCCGGGAACGAAUGAGACCCUCGCGCUGCUCGUUUUUGAUGUACCGCAGGUUGUCGUACUUCAGGCGGGCACGCAGAUCCCCGUGCAAAUGGAAUUCCAAUUCUGGAAGAUCGCUGUGAUCAUCCACCAGAAUAAUCUCGCGCAGCAGGUAGCUGGGCGUGCGUUCCAGCACGGUCUUAAUCGAGCGCAUCAGCGUCAUCUUGUGCUCGUUGUAGAAGCACAUGACUAUGGAGGCCUGGGGCAGAUUUUCCGCUUCCGUGGUCUCCUGGCGAUCGCACACCUUGUGCCGAGUGUCUGGGAUCGCCCGGAAGAGUCCUAUGUUAUUGGACACCAGCGCGUUGAAGGCGUGAUGCUUGUAGCCAAUGUCGCGUAUGUACUUGUCCUGCUUGUUGCGCACCACACCCAACAGUUCCAAUUGCUCCGGAUCACUGGGCGGCUUGGGUGCCGCCGGCGAUUCGCCAGUGGUAAUGCUGGCAUUUGGAGUGCAUCCGACGGUGACCCUGGCCUGGUAGCUCAGCUCGGCCCGUGGCGUUGCGUUCCCUUCGUCGAUCCUCCAUCCUGCCGAGCGGAUGGAGCUGCGCAGGCUGUGCGAGUAGAAAAGCAGCGCCAGCAGCCAGACGACCGCCACCAGAAGGGUGCCCAGGCCGCAGGAUUUGCACAGGAGGCGCUUGAUUUGCAUCAUGGAUCGAGAUUAGAUUACGUUGUGCGCUUCCCUGGCUACUUAAGCAGCUACUUUGUCACUUUCAUGAUGAUCGGAAUAAAUUAAAUUUAAUUUGC